RNAcentral lists this ribosomal RNA (253 nucleotides) under uncultured bacterium. RNAcentral describes it as "partial 16S ribosomal RNA". It matches the Rfam family "Bacterial small subunit ribosomal RNA", at positions 524 to 776 of the family's 1533-position model. The record is from RNAcentral.
UACGUAGGGGCCGAGCGUUGUCCGGAGUUAUUGGGCGUAAAGCGCGCGCAGGCGGCCUCGUGCGCCCGACGUGAAAGCCCCCGGCUUAACCGGGGAGGGUCGUUGGGGACGGCGGGGCUUGAGGGCGGGAGAGGGUGGUGGAAUUCCCGGUGUAGUGGUGAAAUGCGUAGAGAUCGGGAGGAACACCCGUGGCGAAGGCGGUUGCCUGGAGCUUUGCUGACGCUGAGGCGCGAAAGCGUGGGGAGCGAUCCGG